This 254-nucleotide non-coding RNA is filed under the name Heterosigma akashiwo. The record is from RNAcentral. Lineage: Eukaryota; Raphidophyceae; Chattonellales; Chattonellaceae.
GUGGCAGGGGAGAAAUUGAGAUUGCCAGUAAAAAAGGAGAAGAGGGAUAAAAAGGAAGGGAUUCUUAGACUGAAGAUGGAAGCCGGUAAAGUAAAGCUAAGGAUCAAUCCUUCGCAAAUCAAAAACAAGGCUAAGCGACAGGAAGUUUAUGCAAGACUGAAAUAUGAAAAGAAGAAGGCGAAAAGGAAGGCUCGUGAGGAAAGGCCCGUAGAAGACCUGGGAGAAGAUAAACAGGCUGAAAAAAAAAACAAAAC